This 357-nucleotide ribosomal RNA is filed under the name uncultured bacterium. Its description in RNAcentral is "bacterial SSU rRNA". It matches the Rfam family "Bacterial small subunit ribosomal RNA", at positions 1 to 334 of the family's 1533-position model. The record is from RNAcentral.
GUGAGUAGUUCAGAGUUUGAUCCUGGCUCAGGAUGAACGCUGGCGGCGUGCCUAACACAUGCAAGUCGAACGAAGCACCUAACUUUGAUUCCUUCGGGUUGAAGAGUUUUGUGACUGAGUGGCGGACGGGUGAGUAACGCGUGGGUAACCUGCCUCAUACAGGGGGAUAACAGUUAGAAAUGACUGCUAAUACCGCAUAAGCGCACAGCAUCGCAUGGUGCAGUGUGAAAAACUCCGGUGGUAUGAGAUGGACCCGCGUCUGAUUAGCUAGUUGGCGAGGUAACGGCUCACCAAGGCGACGAUCAGUAGCCGGCCUGAGAGGGUGAACGGCCACAUUGGGACUGAGACACGGCCCAA